RNAcentral lists this small nucleolar RNA (161 nucleotides) under Lachancea kluyveri NRRL Y-12651. RNAcentral describes it as "Small nucleolar RNA snR161". It matches the Rfam family "Small nucleolar RNA snR161". Lineage: Eukaryota; Fungi; Ascomycota; Saccharomycetes; Saccharomycetales; Saccharomycetaceae. The record is from Rfam by way of RNAcentral.
AAACAAAAAAUUAACCAGUAUCAUUGGCUGCCUGUAGAUCACCAACAUACGGGCGGUCCCUCUAAGCUGGAAGAAGAAACCUUUCUUAUUAGAACAGCCUAAGUUCUGUCGUGCGAACCAGUCCCAACACGUUCCAUGACACUAAUGUCGUUCUAACAAUA